This is a long non-coding RNA of Tarenaya hassleriana, 1345 nucleotides long. RefSeq lists it as uncharacterized. The record is from RefSeq and is a predicted model, not a curated record. Lineage: Eukaryota; Viridiplantae; Streptophyta; Magnoliopsida; Brassicales; Cleomaceae. The transcript has 3 exons.
AAGGGGAAACAAAAAAAUAAAAAACCCGGGAAUCUCGAGUUUUAGGGUUUUUGCCGGCGUUCGUUGUUCGGUGACCUCCAUCGGAGAAAAUGGCGACAAGUUCUUCUUCUGCUCGAGAAAUCGAUCUUCAGAGAGAGGUAAGAAGGCACGAGGUUGCGUUAGAUGAGCUGAACAAUCUCCCCUCUUCGCGUGUAUGUUCUUCUAAAUUCCCUGCGUUUUCUCCGUUUUUGGUAUGCGUCUCUUAUGUUUAUCUUGUAGCUUUGUCUCCGUUCCAAGUAGAUGGAGCUACAUUGUUGGAAAAUUCUCUCUCUGUGAAUUGAAUUAUUUUUGUUUUUCUAUGGGCUUAACCGAUUUCUCAGCUGUUUUAUGAAUCUCCCCACAAGUUUUAGGGAUUUGACAUUUGUGACUAUCUCCAUAUUCAGUUGAUGAGCUAUGUUUUCCUACGUUUUUAGAAUGUAAGAAUGGAAAGAAAACAAAGGGCUUUUGAUAUUUCUGUGGAAUAUCAAUCAAGAAUUGAGACCACACUCGCAGAGGAAGUCCAGUCCGUGGUCACUGGUUAUUUCAAUGCAUCAGUUUGUCAGUUUGGGUGUUUGUUAAACAUGGUUCAUUACAUAUUGAUGAACUCUAGCAAACACAGAUAUGCAUAGUACAAGUCAAGUCAUCACAUAGCAUUGUGUUUAGCUUCUUGAAUGCCGUCGGUUCUGUAGAAGAUCGCUUCGGGCUAAGCGGCAAAAAAAGUGGUACAUGAUUCGUUCUUUCUAUACUCUUUGAUCCUCUUUUAUGCACGAAGACUGUCUCUACUUCUUAUUCCGACACUUGGUAAAGACCCAGGUUGGUCAUGUUCAUGUAAGUGUGUAUUUAAGUUAGUUACACUAACACUAUUCGUUUUGGUGAUCUGAAGUUGUAACUUUAUUUGUUCGUUUACAGUUUAAAUCCUUUCUGCUUGCUUAUGAUAUGAAACAAAACAUCGUAAGAGAGAAAACGCGAAAUGAAAUCAGACAUCACUGAAUCUGCUCUUGAAUUUCAGGCUGUUUACCAGAAAAGCAGUAACCUCUUUUUUCGCACAACUGUGGAGAAACUGAAAACAUCUGAACAAAAACAACUUGACACAGCAAAAGCUGAGCUUCAGAAGCAUAAUCGCUGACGCGACGGCGACGGUUUUCUUUCUUGGCCGGCCCGUGAAGUUGCAGAGGAGUUGGUUUUUGCCUUUUGAAUUAACGCAAAUGAGUGGACUGCAUAUAGUAUUCACAAGUAGUAGACGUGUGCUUAUAUAGUUUGCAAACCAUGUGACGGCAUUGCUGACUCUAUAUAGAAGUUUCAAUAUCCGUUGGGCCGACAUUAUUCA